RNAcentral lists this ribosomal RNA (730 nucleotides) under uncultured prokaryote. Its description in RNAcentral is "bacterial SSU rRNA". It matches the Rfam family "Bacterial small subunit ribosomal RNA", at positions 28 to 776 of the family's 1533-position model. The record is from RNAcentral.
GAUGAACGCUGACAGAAUGCUUAACACAUGCAAGUCGAUUCGAUUUACCUUCGGGUAUUGAGGAUGGCGGACGGGUGAGUAACGCGUAAGGAACUUGCCUCUUGGUCUGGGACAACUGUUGGAAACGACAGCUAAUACCGGAUAUUAUGAGAUUCUCGCAUGGGAAACUUAUGAAAGCUAUAUGCGCCAAGAGAGAGCCUUGCGUUCCAUUAGCUAGUUGGUGGGGUAACGGCCCACCAAGGCGACGAUGGAUAGCCGGCCUGAGAGGGUGAACGGCCACAAGGGGACUGAGACACGGCCCUUACUCCUACGGGAGGCAGCAGUGGGGAAUAUUGGACAAUGGGCCACAAGCCUGAUCCAGCAAUUCUGUGUGCACGAUGAAGGUCUUCGGAUUGUAAAGUGCUUUCAGUUGGGAAGAAGAAAGUGACGGUACCAACAGAAGAAGCGACGGCUAAAUACGUGCCAGCAGCCGCGGUAAUACGUAUGUCGCAAGCGUUAUCCGGAUUUAUUGGGCGUAAAGCGCGUCUAGGCGGAAAAAUAAGUCUGAUGUUAAAAUGCGGGGCUCAACUCCGUAUUGCGUUGGAAACUGUUUUUCUAGAGUACUGGAGAGGUGGGCGGAACUACAAGUGUAGAGGUGAAAUUCGUAGAUAUUUGUAGGAAUGCCGAUGGAGAAGUCAGCUCACUGGACAGAUACUGACGCUAAAGCGCGAAAGCNUGGGGAGCAAACAGG